CCUACGGGUGGCAGCAGUGAGGAAUAUUGGUCAAUGGGCGGAAGCCUGAACCAGCCAAGUCGCGUGAGGGAUUAAGGCCCUGCGGGUCGUAAACCUCUUUUGCCGGGGAGCAGUGGUCCGGACGCGUCCGGCCCGGGAGAGUCCCCGGAGACAACGCCUCGGCUAACUCCGUGCCAGCAGCCGCGGUAAUACGGGGGCUGCGAGCGUUCUCCGGAUUGAUUGGGUUUAAAGGGUGCGUAGGCGGGCAUUUAAGCCGGCGGUCAAAUGUCGGGGCUCAACCCCGGCCUGCCGUCGGAACUGGGGGCCUGGAGUGGGCGAGAAGUAUGCGGAAUGCGUGGUGUAGCGGUGAAAUGCAUAGAUAUCACGCAGAACCCCGAUUGCGAAGGCAGCAUACCGGCGCCCGACUGACGCUGAGGCACGAAAGUGCGGGUAUCGAACAGGAUUAGAUACCCUUGUAGUC
This 460-nucleotide ribosomal RNA is filed under the name uncultured bacterium. RNAcentral describes it as "partial 16S ribosomal RNA". It matches the Rfam family "Bacterial small subunit ribosomal RNA", at positions 338 to 795 of the family's 1533-position model. The record is from RNAcentral.